This 484-nucleotide long non-coding RNA is filed under the name Gossypium barbadense (sea-island cotton). RNAcentral describes it as "long non-coding RNA (GBAR_LNC011089)". The record is from RNAcentral. Lineage: Eukaryota; Viridiplantae; Streptophyta; Magnoliopsida; Malvales; Malvaceae.
UUUACCUUUAUUAAUAAAAUGGAAGUUUACCACCAAGCCAGUACAAUGCUCUUGAAAUUUAACCAAAUGAAAAGUUUUCCUCCUGAUACUCUAAACAGCACAAUUGUUGGGUUUCAGAUUUAUGGAACAAGAGAAGCAAAUGAAGCUAGUAGAAUCUCCCACCCAAAUUAUACUUUCAACAAUGGAUAUGAUUUGCACGCACCUGUUCGUCUGCAGUUAAGCCAGCCCCAACCUCCUAAGAAUAAUGCACCAGCAAAAUCAAUGAAGUUGGGGUAAUUCUUCCACUCAAUACUGUUUUAAAAACUACAGCAAACAAAACCAGAAAGCAAACUAUUUCAAUAUCAAUCUAAAAUAAAUUCUUUAAAAAAAAACAGAUUACAGUUGCAUUAGAAAACUGGUCAGACAAUUAUGGAUGGACGUCAUCACUACCCGAUCAACAACUUGGGCUAUGGUUAGAGCAAAAGCUUCUACCAGUGAGUUUUCA